ACUCCUACGGGAGGCAGCAGUAGGGAAUAUUAGAAAUGGACGAAAGUCUGAUCUAGCAACACCGCGUGUGCGAAGAAGGCCUUCGGGUCGUAAAGCACUUUUUGGAAGGAAUAGGAAGGAAUGUACUUCCAGAAUAAGUCUCGGCUAACUACGUGCCAGCAGCCGCGGUAACACGUAGGAGGCAAACGUUAUCCGGAUUUACUGGGCGUAAAGCGCGUGUAGGUGGUACUGUAAGUAGGGCGUGAAAGCUCCUGGCUCAACUGGGAGAGGCCGUUCUAAACUACAGAACUAGAGGAUGGUAGAGGGAGGUGGAAUUCCAGGUGUAGCGGUGGAAUGCGCAGAUAUCUGGAGGAACACCGGCGGCGAAGGCGGCCUCCUGGACCAUUCCUGACACUCAGACGCGAAAGCUAGGGUAGCAAACGGGAUUAGAGACCCCGGUAGUCCUAGCCCUAAACGAUGUAGACUAGGCGUCGGAAGCUUAAUCGCUUUCGGUGUCCAAGCUAACGCGAUAAGUCUACCGCCUGGGGACUACGGCCG
This 537-nucleotide ribosomal RNA is filed under the name uncultured bacterium. RNAcentral describes it as "bacterial SSU rRNA". It matches the Rfam family "Bacterial small subunit ribosomal RNA", at positions 335 to 888 of the family's 1533-position model. The record is from RNAcentral.